Molecule: ribosomal RNA, 866 nt
Filed under: Weissella cibaria
Lineage: Bacteria; Bacillati; Bacillota; Bacilli; Lactobacillales; Lactobacillaceae
Description: bacterial SSU rRNA
Rfam family: Bacterial small subunit ribosomal RNA
Source: RNAcentral
CUAAUACAUGCAAGUCGAACGCUUUGUGGUUCAACUGAUUUGAAGAGCUUGCUCAGAUAUGACGAUGGACAUUGCAAAGAGUGGCGAACGGGUGAGUAACACGUGGGAAACCUACCUCUUAGCAGGGGAUAACAUUUGGAAACAGAUGCUAAUACCGUAUAACAAUAGCAACCGCAUGGUUGCUACUUAAAAGAUGGUUCUGCUAUCACUAAGAGAUGGUCCCGCGGUGCAUUAGUUAGUUGGUGAGGUAAUGGCUCACCAAGACGAUGAUGCAUAGCCGAGUUGAGAGACUGAUCGGCCACAAUGGGACUGAGACACGGCCCAUACUCCUACGGGAGGCAGCAGUAGGGAAUCUUCCACAAUGGGCGAAAGCCUGAUGGAGCAACGCCGCGUGUGUGAUGAAGGGUUUCGGCUCGUAAAACACUGUUGUAAGAGAAGAAUGACAUUGAGAGUAACUGUUCAAUGUGUGACGGUAUCUUACCAGAAAGGAACGGCUAAAUACGUGCCAGCAGCCGCGGUAAUACGUAUGUUCCAAGCGUUAUCCGGAUUUAUUGGGCGUAAAGCGAGCGCAGACGGUUAUUUAAGUCUGAAGUGAAAGCCCUCAGCUCAACUGAGGAAUUGCUUUGGAAACUGGAUGACUUGAGUGCAGUAGAGGAAAGUGGAACUCCAUGUGUAGCGGUGAAAUGCGUAGAUAUAUGGAAGAACACCAGUGGCGAAGGCGGCUUUCUGGACUGUAACUGACGUUGAGGCUCGAAAGUGUGGGUAGCAAACAGGAUUAGAUACCCUGGUAGUCCACACCGUAAACGAUGAGUGCUAGGUGUUUGAGGGUUUCCGCCCUUAAGUGCCGCAGCUAACGCAUUAAGCAC